CAUGAGCCUGUUGCCUUACUUUCUGACUAAACUGUCAGAAACCAAACAUGAAACAUGGACUUGACUUAUGCUGACCAACACUGGAAUUCUGUAAUAUUUCUCAAAUGGUAAUGAUUCUGCAUAUACGAAGAGUUUUAUUCAAAAAAGAAAUAUCCUUUAUUAAAGAAAACAAAUCUCAGGCCUGAUGGGUAUUCAUAUCCAAAUACCGUGAAACGUACGUUUAAACAGCCCUGAAAUCACAGCUGACGUAUGAGUCUGACUUCAACAACGAAAACAUGCACAUGCUCAACAACUCAGGUGAGGUGCGGCCUGUCCUUCACUGUAAUCCACCCAUGCCGACGUGCUGACACGGAGCUUUUAGAGGCUGAGCUGGCUGUAGCACGCAUUGCAGAUGUGUGGGCAGUUACCUGGAAGUGGAGUCCCAGGGAAGCUGCAGGACAGUCAAUGAGUAACAUCAUCACCUACCACCAUGCAACCCUGUCUCCUGAAAAUGACGUCUAUGUACAGCUAAACUGCAACAGCAAAUGUGUUUUUUGCAGAAAACACAAUAGAUUUAGCAUUACAUGGAUCAACUAAAAUGUUAUAUGUUUGGUGAACAGAUGAUGUAGUCCACCAAUGUUGUUGUUGUUGUUGUUGUGCUUGUCACUGGUGUUGCUGGGAGAGCAGAGACGUGCACGGAUGUCUGUCACUUGAUUCCUCUUCAGUGUGACAUGUUAAUGUGUCUGUGGUGUCACAACAUCUGUUAGCUACGGACAGAGAAGCAGUUUGAUUUGAUGGGUGAUAAAAUCUGUGAUGGUUGUUUGGUUUCUUUGGUUACACUCCCACCACAGCAGCUUGAGUUAGGCACUGAAGAAGGUCUGUUUUCCGUGAAGUAACAUCCGAAGGAGUUCAGGAGCCCAUUGCUCAAGAACUGUGGAUAUCAUGUGACCUCUUAAGAUGAUGUUCCACCGAGGUGAGGAACAAUGGAACAAGCUGUUUUUCAAGAUCAAUUGGGAAGCGGUAAUAUGGUUCACUUUUAUGUUUGCUUACAAUAAUCAUUGUAGUAAAAAUUCGGCAGCUUCG
This is a long non-coding RNA of Toxotes jaculatrix (banded archerfish), 1062 nucleotides long. RefSeq lists it as uncharacterized. The transcript has 3 exons. Lineage: Eukaryota; Metazoa; Chordata; Actinopteri; Toxotidae. The record is from RefSeq and is a predicted model, not a curated record.